UACGUAGGGUGCGAGCGUUGUCCGGAAUUAUUGGGCGUAAAGAGCUUGUAGGCGGUCUGUCGCGUCUGCUGUGAAAAUCCGGGGCUCAACCCCGGACUUGCAGUGGGUACGGGCAGACUAGAGUGUGGUAGGGGAGACUGGAAUUCCUGGUGUAGCGGUGAAAUGCGCAGAUAUCAGGAGGAACACCGAUGGCGAAGGCAGGUCUCUGGGCAGUAACUGACGCUGAGGAGCGAAAGUGUGGGGAGCGAACAGG
RNAcentral lists this ribosomal RNA (253 nucleotides) under uncultured bacterium. RNAcentral describes it as "partial 16S ribosomal RNA". It matches the Rfam family "Bacterial small subunit ribosomal RNA", at positions 524 to 776 of the family's 1533-position model. The record is from RNAcentral.